Molecule: transfer RNA, 73 nt
Filed under: Gloeobacter kilaueensis JS1
Lineage: Bacteria; Bacillati; Cyanobacteriota; Cyanophyceae; Gloeobacterales; Gloeobacteraceae
Description: tRNA-Asn (GTT) (tRNA-Asn-GTT-2-1)
Rfam family: tRNA
About the family: Transfer RNA (tRNA) molecules are approximately 80 nucleotides in length. Their secondary structure includes four short double-helical elements and three loops (D, anti-codon, and T loops). Further hydrogen bonds mediate the characteristic L-shaped molecular structure. tRNAs have two regions of fundamental functional importance: the anti-codon, which is responsible for specific mRNA codon recognition, and the 3' end, to which the tRNAs corresponding amino acid is attached (by aminoacyl-tRNA synthetases). tRNAs cope with the degeneracy of the genetic code in two manners: having more than one tRNA (with a specific anti-codon) for a particular amino acid; and 'wobble' base-pairing, i.e. permitting non-standard base-pairing at the 3rd anti-codon position.
Source: Rfam by way of RNAcentral
UCCGGCUUAGCUCAGUUGGUAGAGCGUUCCGCUGUUAACGGAAAGGUCGCAGGUUCGAUCCCUGCCGCCGGAG